This 226-nucleotide small RNA is filed under the name Arabidopsis thaliana (thale cress). RNAcentral's name for it is "ATSL029430". The record is from RNAcentral. Lineage: Eukaryota; Viridiplantae; Streptophyta; Magnoliopsida; Brassicales; Brassicaceae.
AAAAAUAAAAUAAGAAUUCAGUUAAAACUAACGCAGCGGUGACGAAACGAACAUAGACACUUGCGGCAGCGACAGCGGCAUGAAAACGAACAUGCACACAAGUUGCGUCAGCGGCAGCGGUAAUGGCUGCAGUAGUGGCGACGAAACGAACAAUAAUCUGCAGUAGAGUUUGCCGCCGCCGCUACCGUCUGCGGUGGUGAAACGAACAGACUAAUAUAUAAAAACA